UUUAGAUAUUAAAGAGCACCAAUUAUGCUAAUAAAUUGGCACGUUAGCACGUAAAUGCAGUAUCCCAUAGUACAUACAUGUUAUUAAAACUUGAACUAAUGCAUUGUGAGUCUUAUAAAUUGCUUACAUACCUCACCGAUUUCCCACUGUCUGAAAAACGCUCGGUUAAGUUCCUGUCUCCGCCUCCCAAAAUGUCUAGUGUAAUCGGAUUGGUCAGAUGACUACUCAACUGUUAUUGGUCAGCUGGGUUCGUCGUGUGUUUGAAAGGUUACGCCCCUGACUACGUGUGGGUUGACACACCGGUUCUGACUGAGAGAGUCACAGCCUCAGAGGCAACGUAAACAAGCGUUAUAUUUCUCUAUAAACGAUGGUGUCUGUACUGCCUUACCACUUCGAGCUCGAUCCAGAGAGUUCAGAAGGCCGUUACGAUAUAAACGAUCUCCGUCAAUGAAUGCGAUUGGAUUUAACUUUUUUAGGUGUCCUUAGCUCUGCCAGAAUGCUAAACGAAGACGAAAAUGUGUUGCAAAGACAUCCAAAAGGUAAUUAUAACGUACUACAUAACUAUAUGGAAACACCAAAUGUAGCACAUAGAAAGUAUUUGUUGAAAUGAUUAUAAAACGAUUUCACUUGGUAAUUUCUACAUUAUUUUACUAUAGUAAAAUGUAUUAUAAAAGACUGUUUACAUACUCUAUUACUGUGCAAACUAUAUGGAAACACCAAAUGUAGCACAUAGAAAGUAUUUGUUGAAAUGAUUAUAAAACGAUUUCACUUGGUAAUUUCUACAUUAUUUUACUAUAGUAAAAUGUAUUAUAAAAGACUGUUUACAUACUCUAUUACUGUGCAAACUAUAUGGAAACACCAAAUGUAGCACAUAGAAAGUAUUUGUUGAAAUGAUUAUAAAACGAUUUCACUUGGUAAUUUCUACAUUAUUUUACUAUAGUAAAAUGUAUUAUAAAAGACUGUUUACAUACUCUAUUACUGUGCAAACUAUAUGGAAACACCAAAUGUAGCACAUAGAAAGUAUUUGUUGAAAUGAUUAUAAAACGAUUUCACUUGGUAAUUUCUACAUUAUUUUACUAUAGUAAAAUGUAUUAUAAAAGACUGUUUACAUACUCUAUUACUGUGCAAACUAUAUGGAAACACCAAAUGUAGCACAUAGAAAGUAUUUGUUGAAAUGAUUAUAAAACGAUUUCACUUGGUAAUUUCUACAUUAUUUUACUAUAGUAAAAUGUAUUAUAAAAGACUGUUUACAUACUCUAUUACUGUGCAAACUAUAUGGAAACACCAAAUGUAGCACAUAGAAAGUAUUUGUUGAAAUGAUUAUAAAACGAUUUCACUUGGUAAUUUCUACAUUAUUUUACUAUAGUAAAAUGUAUUAUAAAAGACUGUUUACAUACUCUAUUACUGUGCAAACUAUAUGGAAACACCAAAUGUAGCACAUAGAAAGUAUUUGUUGAAAUGAUUAUAAAACGAUUUCACUUGGUAAUUUCUACAUUAUUUUACUAUAGUAAACUUUAUUAUAAAAUACUGCUUACAUACUAUUUUACUGUGCUAUGUUUUUACUUAUUAGGUUUUAAGGAGAAUGCAACAGGUUCCAGGGCCUCUUACCUGCGUGAUUCAUCAUCCAGGUUUUGCACAAAUUGUCUAAAUCCCUACACACAGAACAUUUAUUGUACCGACUAUAAGCCUUUGAGGCGCAGGACUAGAAUAUGCUUGGAGCUUCCUGAUCGGAAUGUUGGCUUCCGACGACCCCUGCACUGAAGAUGGCAUGCAAUCACGUCCUCCUUUGAAGGUCUCUCAAACUGUGAUGCCAGGUCCAUUGGAAUCGGGGUUUCCUUCAGCUUAUCUUCAAAUACCUCAUCAAACACAAGCCUGAUCACAUCAUCCACAUAACUGUACAAAUAUUGCAGUCAAUAAAUCUUUUGUUUUGAUAAUUUAUUUCCCUGCUUCAUACAUUAAGUUUUUAAUUAUGAAUGUAUUUGAAAUAAAACAUUACUGCUUACAGUA
Molecule: non-coding RNA, 2007 nt
Organism: Misgurnus anguillicaudatus (oriental weatherfish)
Lineage: Eukaryota; Metazoa; Chordata; Actinopteri; Cypriniformes; Cobitidae
Source: RefSeq, a predicted model, not a curated record